This 274-nucleotide long non-coding RNA is filed under the name Parus major (Great Tit). RNAcentral's name for it is "lncRNA (ENSPMJG00000007831.1)". Lineage: Eukaryota; Metazoa; Chordata; Aves; Passeriformes; Paridae. The record is from RNAcentral.
AGGCUGAGCCUGUGGGGAGAGCUUCUGAUUCUGCUUUACUUCUGAAAACACAUUGUCUCUUUCUACAGACCCUGUAAUAAUGACUGCAGUGAUGCUCCUGAGUGUUGGUGAUGAAAUGAAGGUUUCAUAGCGUUGCAGCCAGAAGAUCUCUUGGCUGAACUGCAGGCCAGGUGUCACAGUUUUAUGUGGUGUAAAUGAUACUCUCAUUACCCAGAUGGUCUAAGAAGGCAACAGCUUCUGGGAGGUAAAUGCUAUUUAAUUCUCUACAUCCCGG